Molecule: ribosomal RNA, 377 nt
Filed under: uncultured bacterium
Lineage: Bacteria
Description: bacterial SSU rRNA
Rfam family: Bacterial small subunit ribosomal RNA
Source: RNAcentral
UAAUACGGAGGGUGCGAGCGUUGUUCGGAAUCACUGGGCGUAAAGCGCGUGUAGGCGGCUUCUUAAGUCCGAUGUGAAAGCCCGGGGCUCACCCCCGGAAGUGCAUUGGAUACUGGGAAGCUGGAGUACCGGAGAGGAGGGUGGAAUUCCUGGUGUAGCGGUGAAAUGCGUAGAUAUCAGGAGGAACACCUGUGGCGAAGGCGGCCCUCUGGACGGAUACUGACGCUGAGACGCGAAAGCGUGGGGAGCAAACAGGAUUAGAUACCCUGGUAGUCCACGCUGUAAACGAUGGGCACUAGGUGUUCGGGGUAUUGACCCCCCGAGUGCCGCAGCUAACGCAUUAAGUGCCCCGCCUGGGGACUACGGCCGCAAGGCUA